AUUGAACGCUGGCGGCAUGCUUUACACAUGCAAGUCGAACGGCAGCGCGGGCUUCGGCCUGGCGGCGAGUGGCGAACGGGUGAGUAAUGCAUCGGAACGUGCCCCGUAGUGGGGGAUAGCCCGGCGAAAGCCGGAUUAAUACCGCAUACGACCUGAGGGUGCAAGCGGGGGACCGAAAGGCCUCGCGCUAUUGGAGCGGCCGAUGUCGGAUUAGCUAGUUGGUGGGGCAAAGGCUUACCAAGGCGACGAUCCGUAGCUGGUCUGAGAGGACGACCAGCCACACUGGGACUGAGACACGGCCCAGACUCCUACGGGAGGCAGCAGUGGGGAAUUUUGGACAAUGGGGGCAACCCUGAUCCAGCCAUGACGCGUGCGGGAAGAAGGCCUUCGGGUUGUAAACCGCUUUUGUUCGGGAAGAAAUCCUAUGGGCUAAUACCCCGGGGGGAUGACGGUACCGGAAGAAUAAGCACCGGCUAACUACGUG
RNAcentral lists this ribosomal RNA (484 nucleotides) under uncultured bacterium. RNAcentral's name for it is "partial 16S ribosomal RNA". It matches the Rfam family "Bacterial small subunit ribosomal RNA", at positions 28 to 507 of the family's 1533-position model. The record is from RNAcentral.